UAGAUGAGCCUAUAUUAGAUUAGCUAGUUGGUGGAGUAAUAGCCUACCAAGGCAAUGAUCUAUAGCUGAUCUGAGAGGAUGAUCAGCCACACUGGAACUGAGAUACGGUCCAGACUCCUACGGGAGGCAGCAGUGGGGAAUAUUGGACAAUGGGCGAAAGCCUGAUCCAGCUAUGCCGCAUGAGUGAAGAAGGCCUUUGGGUUGUAAAGCUCUUUUAGUGAGGAAGAUAAUGACGGUACUCACAGAAGAAGUCCUGGCUAACUCCGUGCCAGCAGCCGCGGUAAUACGGAGAGGGCUAGCGUUAUUCGGAAUUAUUGGGCGUAAAGGGCGCGUAGGCUGAUUAAUAAGUUAAAAGUGAAAUCCCGAGGCUUAACCUUGGAAUUGCUUUUAAAACUAUUAAUCUAGAGAUUGAAAGAGGAUAGAGGAAUUCCUGAUGUAGAGGUAAAAUUCGUAAAUAUUAGGAGGAACACCAGUGGCGAAGGCGUCUAUCUGGUUCAAAUCUGACGCUGAGGCGCGAAGGCGUGGGGAGCAAACAGGAUUAGAUACCCUGGUAGUCCACGCUAUAAACGAUGAAUGUUAAAUAUGGGAAGUUUAC
RNAcentral lists this ribosomal RNA (595 nucleotides) under Wolbachia endosymbiont of Bemisia tabaci. RNAcentral describes it as "bacterial SSU rRNA". It matches the Rfam family "Bacterial small subunit ribosomal RNA", at positions 222 to 834 of the family's 1533-position model. Lineage: Bacteria; Pseudomonadati; Pseudomonadota; Alphaproteobacteria; Rickettsiales; Anaplasmataceae. The record is from RNAcentral.